GAUGAACGCUGGCGGCGUGCCUAAUACAUGCAAGUCGAGCGAACAGACGAGGAGCUUGCUCCUCUGACGUUAGCGGCGGACGUGUGAGUAACACGUGUAUAACCUACCUAUAAGACUGGUAUAACUUCGGGAAACCGGAGCUAAUACCGGAUAAUAUAUUGAACCGCAUGGUUCAAUAGUGAAAUACGGUUUUGCUGUCACUUAUAGAAGGAUCCGCGCCGCAUUAGCUAGUUGGUAAGGUAACGGCUUACCAAGGCGGCGAUGCGUAGCCGACCUGAGAGGGUGAUCGGCCACACUGGAACGGAGACACGGUCCAGACUCCUACGGGAGGCAGCAGUAGGGAAUCUUACGCAAUGGGCGAAAGCCUGACGGAGUAACGCCGAGUGAGUGAUGAAGGUCUUCGGAUCGUAAAAAUCUGUUAUUAGGGAAGAACAAAUGUGUAAGUAACUAUGCACGUAUUGACGGUACCUAAUAAGAAAGCCACGGCUAACUACGUG
This 497-nucleotide ribosomal RNA is filed under the name uncultured bacterium. RNAcentral describes it as "partial 16S ribosomal RNA". It matches the Rfam family "Bacterial small subunit ribosomal RNA", at positions 28 to 507 of the family's 1533-position model. The record is from RNAcentral.